RNAcentral lists this transfer RNA (78 nucleotides) under Candidatus Omnitrophota bacterium. RNAcentral's name for it is "Candidatus Omnitrophica bacterium tRNA-Arg". It matches the Rfam family "tRNA". From Rfam's summary of the family: Transfer RNA (tRNA) molecules are approximately 80 nucleotides in length. Their secondary structure includes four short double-helical elements and three loops (D, anti-codon, and T loops). Lineage: Bacteria; Pseudomonadati; Candidatus Omnitrophota. The record is from RNAcentral.
GCCCCUGUAGCUCAGUAUGGAUAGAGCAGCGGUUUCCUAAACCGUUUGCCGGACGUUCGAACCGUCUCAGGGGCACCA